RNAcentral lists this ribosomal RNA (675 nucleotides) under uncultured Vibrionaceae bacterium. Its description in RNAcentral is "bacterial SSU rRNA". It matches the Rfam family "Bacterial small subunit ribosomal RNA", at positions 1 to 671 of the family's 1533-position model. The record is from RNAcentral. Lineage: Bacteria; Pseudomonadati; Pseudomonadota; Gammaproteobacteria; Vibrionales; Vibrionaceae.
UAGAGUUUGAUCAUGGCUCAGAUUGAACGCUGGCGGCAGGCCUAACACAUGCAAGUCGAGCGGUAACACAAGGGAGCUUGCUCCUGAGGUGACGAGCGGCGGACGGGUGAGUAAUGCCUAGGUAUCUGCCCAGUCGAGGGGGAUAACAGUUGGAAACGACUGCUAAUACCGCAUACGCCCUACGGGGGAAAGGAGGGGACCUUCGGGCCUUUCGCGAUUGGAUGAACCUAGGUGGGAUUAGCUAGUAGGUGGGGUAAUGGCUCACCUAGGCGACGAUCCCUAGCUGGUCUGAGAGGAUGAUCAGCCACACUGGAACUGAGACACGGUCCAGACUCCUACGGGAGGCAGCAGUGGGGAAUAUUGCACAAUGGGCGAAAGCCUGAUGCAGCCAUGCCGCGUGUAUGAAGAAGGCCUUCGGGUUGUAAAGUACUUUCAGCGAGGAGGAAAGCUCAAUUGUUAAUAGCGAUUGGGUGUGACGUUACUCGCAGAAGAAGCACCGGCUAACUUCGUGCCAGCAGCCGCGGUAAUACGAGGGGUGCAAGCGUUAAUCGGAAUUACUGGGCGUAAAGCGUACGCAGGCGGUUUGUUAAGCGAGAUGUGAAAGCCCCGGGCUCAACCUGGGAACUGCAUUUCGAACUGGCAAACUAGAGUCCUGUAGAGGGGGGUAGAAUUUCA